Molecule: ribosomal RNA, 497 nt
Filed under: uncultured bacterium
Lineage: Bacteria
Description: partial 16S ribosomal RNA
Rfam family: Bacterial small subunit ribosomal RNA
Source: RNAcentral
GAUGAACGCUGGCGGCGUGCCUAAUACAUGCCAGUCGAGCGAACAGACGAGGAGCUUGCUCCUCUGACGUUAGCGGCGGACGGGUGAGUAACACGUGGAUAACCUACCUAUAAGACUGGGAUAACUUCGGGAAACCGGAGCUAAUACCGGAUAAUAUAUUGAACCGCAUGGUUCGAUAGUGAAAGACGGUUUUGCUGUCACUUAUAGAUGGAUCCGCGCCGCAUUAGCUAGUUGGUAAGGUAACGGCUUACCAAGGCGACGAUGCGUAGCCGACCUGAGAGGGUGAUCGGCCACACUGGAACUGAGACACGGUCCAGACUCCUACGGGAGGCAGCAGUAGGGAAUCUUCCGCAAUGGGCGAAAGCCUGACGGAGCAACGCCGCGUGAGUGAUGAAGGUCUUCGGAUCGUAAAACUCUGUUAUUAGGGAAGAACAAAUGUGUAAGUAACUAUGCACGUCUUGACGGUACCUAAUCAGAAAGCCACGGCUAACUACGUG